Molecule: ribosomal RNA, 539 nt
Filed under: uncultured Gammaproteobacteria bacterium
Lineage: Bacteria; Pseudomonadati; Pseudomonadota; Gammaproteobacteria
Description: bacterial SSU rRNA
Rfam family: Bacterial small subunit ribosomal RNA
Source: RNAcentral
UACAUGCAAGUCGAACGAGAAAGUUCUUCGGAUACGAGUACAGUGGCGGACGGGUGAGUAAUACACAGGAAUCUACCCAAUGGAGGGGGAUAGCUCGAGGAAACUCGAAUUAAUACCGCAUAAUCUCCACGGAGUAAAGAGGGCUUCGGCUCUUGCCAUCGGAUGAGCCUAUGCAGGAUUAGCUUGUUGGUGAGGUAAAGGCUCACCAAUGCAACGAUCCUUAGCUGGUUUGAGAGGAUGACCAGCCACAUCGGGACUGAGACACGGCCCGGACUUCUACGGAAGGCAGCAGUAGGGAAUAUUGGACAAUGAGCGAAAGCUUGAUCCAGACAUGCCGAGUGUGCGAUGACGGCCUUCGGGUUGUAAAAGCAAUAUUAGGUAACGAGGAAAAGUUAAGGUGUAAAUACCAUCUAACCUUGACGAUUCAUCACAGACAUCACGCACCGGCUAAAUCCAUGACAGAAAACAGCGGAACUACAGAUGGAGCAAGCGAUAAACACAACUAACAGGACAGUACAGCGACGCGAAAGAUGGCAUAU